GAAGAAUAAACCUUCCCUUUAGAUGCUAACGGAAGUUUGUGUCAUCUUUCCUGUAUCACAGCGUCAUGUUGAGAUGACAAAAUUACCACAUUACCCUCAGCCCCUCCAAGGUUGCCAGGCCAAUACAUCGAUGGACCGGGGUUGAAGGGUUACAAGUCCCAGGAGGUGUCAACCUCAUUACCCCAGAGUGGAUCAACCCAGCCCAGGGGGCUCUCUGAGUAUUUAGAGGAGCGCGUUGGUCCCACAAGGGUUCUGAUUCAAAUGCCAACAUCUGUCUGGCGACGGAGCCGGCGCCGAGACGGACCAGGACACCUUCAUCAGAGGUAUUCUCCAGCUGACAGAAGCCACAAGGUGGACGAAAUAAUGGUGCCAUAUUUGGAGAGAGGUAAUUGGGCCGCCGGACAUGGUCAGCAAUGUCACCGCCAUGGCCCUCCACCCCCCACCAUCCGACUCCUCCUUGCAGCUCGCUUGUCUUCUGCGGCGGCAGAGUCGAAGAAGAAAAAGCAGAUCGCCUUGUUUAUUCUCCCCUGCAAGGAAAUCCUUGCAAAACUUACAAAGCAUGAAAAAGGAAUGAAAGUUGAGGAGGAGCUACUUGUUUACAACUAUCACACUGACAUACGGAGGAGCAAACUGUAAUAAUUUUUUCAUAGCCACUUUCGCUGUCUGGAUGAAUUUAAAGCGCGGGUUUGGGUAGGUAAGAAUAUGGAAACAGUGGGAUUUAUAGGCGCGUUAUGGCGCCCUGAUGUGUUGUAAAAAGGACACUCUGGAAGAUAAGGAGAAAGCAAUUGUGUGGCAUGUGACUGAUGGGGAAAGGGGAUUCAAAUUGAGUCCUCAGCCAUAAAAUAAAUAACGUGGAUGUCAACCGAAGUGGGGAGGCAGAUAGAGGGGAGAAAACAGAAAGGCGACAAAGAUCUUCUCUGGCGGAAACCCGGAGGGCGCCGUACAGGCCGGCAGACGGAGGGCAUUGUGGGACUGUUAGAAGCAGGAGGGAUGCAGGUGCAACUGAGGGAUGAGUGUGGUUUUGCUGAGUGUGUGUGCCUGCACUGGCACAAGGGUGGGGGGUUGUAAUUGCCCCCGCAGAUGGGUGAAGAGUAAAAAAGCAGGGAGGUGGGGGGAACGACAGCACUGGUGCAAGAACGACUGUGUUAUGUGUUUUUGCUUUUACUGAGAAACCAAGAACAUGAAGUAAGGUAAAAGAAAAAGUCAAAGGAAACUACUGUAGGUUUAAUGAAUAAAGAAUGAAAAAGUUUAAAAUGGAUAAGGAAGUGCAUAAAUCAUGUCCAUUAUAGGAAUGGUUUACCCUAGGUUUAAUAAAGUAACCACCAUAUUGUUACUAAAGCUGACUCCUGCCACUUUGUGACAACUAUAGUGGUGUGGAGCAUGAGGUGGAGGAGGGAGGGUUGAUCCAAAGUAUCGAUGAUAUCAAUACCAAGUCAAUACAAGUAUCAGAUCGAUAUUAACGCGGGAAGAACAACACUUUAGUUUCAGAUUCCCUCUUGAAAU
Long non-coding RNA from Poecilia reticulata (guppy), 1503 nucleotides. RefSeq lists it as uncharacterized. Lineage: Eukaryota; Metazoa; Chordata; Actinopteri; Cyprinodontiformes; Poeciliidae. The record is from RefSeq and is a predicted model, not a curated record.